CCGGACUCCUACGGGAGUAGGGCUCCGUCACCAACUUCAACUGCGGGUAAGCUCCGCCCGGACUCCUACGGGAGCCGGGCUCCGUCACCAACUUCAACUGCGGGUAAGCUCCAUCCAGACUCCUACGGGAACCGGACUUCGCACCUGACUCCAGCUGCAGGAAGGCUCCGCCCGGACUCCUACGGGAGCCGGGCUCCGUCCCCGACUUCAACCUCAAGAAGGACUCCGCCCAGACUCCU
This 239-nucleotide long non-coding RNA is filed under the name Elaeis guineensis (African oil palm). RNAcentral's name for it is "long non-coding RNA (EGUI_LNC024154)". The record is from RNAcentral. Lineage: Eukaryota; Viridiplantae; Streptophyta; Magnoliopsida; Arecales; Arecaceae.